CAUGCAAGUCGAACGGAAAGGCCCCUUCGGGGGUACUCGAGUGGCGAACGGGUGAGUAACACGUGGGCAAUCUGCCCUGCACUUCGGGAUAAGCCUGGGAAACUGGGUCUAAUACCGGAUAGGACCACUUGGCGCAUGCCUUGUGGUGGAAAGCUUUUGCGGUGUGGGAUGGGCCCGCGGCCUAUCAGCUUGUUGGUGGGGUGAUGGCCUACCAAGGCGACGACGGGUAGCCGGCCUGAGAGGGUGUCCGGCCACACUGGGACUGAGAUACGGCCCAGACUCCUACGGGAGGCAGCAGUGGGGAAUAUUGCACAAUGGGCGCAAGCCUGAUGCAGCGACGCCGCGUGGGGGAUGACGGCCUUCGGGUUGUAAACCUCUUUCAGCAGGGACGAAGCGAAAGUGACGGUACCUGCAGAAGAAGCACCGGCCAACUACGUGCCAGCAGCCGCGGUAAUACGUAGGGUGCGAGCGUUGUCCGGAAUUACUGGGCGUAAAGAGCUCGUAGGUGGUUUGUCGCGUUGUUCGUGAAAACCGGGGGCUUAACCCUCGGCGUGCGGGCGAUACGGGCAGACUAGAGUACUGCAGGGGAGACUGGAAUUCCUGGUGUAGCGGUGGAAUGCGCAGAUAUCAGGAGGAACACCGGUGGCGAAGGCGGGUCUCUGGGCAGUAACUGACGCUGAGGAGCGAAAGCGUGGGGAGCGAACAGGAUUAGAUACCCUGGUAGUCCACGCCGUAAACGGUGGGUACUAGGUGUGGGUUUCCUUCCUUGGGAUCCGUGCCGUAGCUAACGCAUUAAGUACCCCGCCUGGGGAGUACGGCCGCAAGGCUAAAACUCAAAGGAAUUGACGGGGGCNNGCACAAGCGGCGGAGCAUGUGGAUUAAUUCGAUGCAACGCGAAGAACCUUACCUGGGUUUGACAUGCACAGGACGCGUCUAGAGAUAGGCGUUCCCUUGUGGCCUGUGUGCAGGUGGUGCAUGGCUGUCGUCAGCUCGUGUCGUGAGAUGUUGGGUUAAGUCCCGCAACGAGCGCAACCCUUGUCUCAUGUUGCCAGCGGGUAAUGCCGGGGACUCGUGAGAGACUGCCGGGGUCAACUCGGAGGAAGGUGGGGAUGACGUCAAGUCAUCAUGCCCCUUAUGUCCAGGGCUUCACACAUGCUACAAUGGCCGGUACAAAGGGCUGCGAUGCCGCAAGGUUAAGCGAAUCCUUUUAAAGCCGGUCUCAGUUCGGAUCGGGGUCUGCAACUCGACCCCGUGAAGUCGGAGUCGCUAGUAAUCGCAGAUCAGCAACGCUGCGGUGAAUACGUUCCCGGGCCUUGUACACACCGCCCGUCACGUCAUGAAAGUCGGUAACACCCGAAGCCAGUGGCCUAACCCUUGGGAGGGAGCUGUCG
Molecule: ribosomal RNA, 1391 nt
Filed under: Mycobacterium sp.
Lineage: Bacteria; Bacillati; Actinomycetota; Actinomycetes; Mycobacteriales; Mycobacteriaceae
Description: 16S ribosomal RNA
Rfam family: Bacterial small subunit ribosomal RNA
Source: RNAcentral